This 301-nucleotide ribosomal RNA is filed under the name uncultured bacterium. RNAcentral's name for it is "partial 16S ribosomal RNA". It matches the Rfam family "Bacterial small subunit ribosomal RNA", at positions 509 to 807 of the family's 1533-position model. The record is from RNAcentral.
CAGUAGCCGCGGGAAAACGAAGGGUGCAAGCGUUACUCGGAAUUACUGGGCGUAAAGCGUGCGUAGGUGGUGGUUUAAGUCCGUUGUGAAAGCCCUGGGCUCAACCUGGGAAUUGCAGUGGAUACUGGAUCACUAGAGUGUGGUAGAGGAUAGUGGAAUUUCCGGUGUAGCAGUGAAAUGCGUAGAGAUCGGAAGGAACAUCUGUGGCGAAGGCGACUAUCUGGGCCAACACUGACACUGAGGCACGAAAGCGUGGGGAGCAAACAGGAUUAGAUACCCCUGUAGUCCCUGUCUCUUAUAC